This is a non-coding RNA of Cricetulus griseus (Chinese hamster), 2839 nucleotides long. NCBI's taxonomy places the organism in Eukaryota, Metazoa, Chordata, Mammalia, Rodentia, Cricetidae. The record is from RefSeq and is a predicted model, not a curated record.
GACUGAUCACUGGAAAAUCAGCAUGGAACUGAUCCAGACCCCAUGAAUCCACAGCUUUAGGACAUUUGCAAGCCAAUUGAUUUCAGCUAAAAGAACAUGAUUGUGAUGACACAGGUUGAAUAAACUGGAUAAGGAAGAAAUGAGAAGUACUUUGGAAGCCUUGAUAAAAUAUACAUACUUCAAAAAAUGGAAGAUAAAUGUCAUGAUCAUUCAUGGCUGUGACAUGUAGUUUUAAGGGAGAUAGUUAUUUUGGGCAUGUCCGGAUACUCUUGCUGAAGAAGAGAAUAUUUCAUUUUACAUUUUCCACUUUUAAGGCCUCUGUGGUUUCUGAGGACAGCAUAUUUCAUAGUUGGCACAGGCUGUAACCCAUGCCCCAAGCAACAGAGAAGAUGACUAACUUUAAUUAAAACUCAGAAUAAGAAAAGGUUCUGCAGUAUGUCUGGAGCAUAUGGUCUUGAAGAAGUAAUGUUAUGUAUGUAUGAUGUGACAAGAUGUUUGAAGGUUUUGGAAAACCCAAGUAGGCAAAUUACAUCAUGAACUCUUAAGAUUCUCAAGCAAGACAGUGUCAUCUAUAGAGAUCUAUAGAGGAGAGCUAGAGUCUAACGUAUUAUUGGUUAAGUAUUCUGACUGUGUUACUGGGACUUGACAGAGAAAAACAUGCCACUAUCAAUCGACUAUGCAUCAAAAACUUAUUCAUGUGAGCCAUCUGAUACAUCAAGUUGGGCUGAACCAAUUGCAAUUCAUCAUGAACUGGAAGGGCUGUGUGUAGGCUUGUGGAUGAACAGAGCAGGAAAGCACACAUGGAUGGCAAUUGCCACAGACAUCUACGAUAGCUACCAUGUCACAUGGCCCUUCUCCCUCAGCUCAUUCUCAGGGCCACAUAAGGAACCUUCUUAUCAGAUAACAAAAGAGAAUGAGGAGAAAACUGUUCAUACAUAGGUUGUCUCUAUACAUGGCUGUAAGCUGGGAAAGCACUGCUAUGACUCUCUAGUCCCAUAAACUACAAAUGAAUAGUGUCAGGAGACCACAGCUGUUUCUUCUUUUUGCAAAAUAAAAAAGGAAUCAUUGGAGAUAAGGAUAAAAAGGAAAUACAGGAAGUUUCCUACAGUUCAGAUGGGGUUUAAAUAUCUUUGUAGCUCAUGAUAAUGCCCACUAGAGAUUGUUCAUCAAGGAAGAGGCAUUAGAUAGCUAAGUAGACAAAAUGACUCAGCCAGCUGAUGUCGCGCAGCUUCUGUCAUCGAUUACCACAGUGUUGGCAUAAUGGUUACAUUACAUUAUAUUCUUGCCAAAGAUGACUAAAUGUCAUUGGUCUCCACUAACCAGCUAUUGAUGCUACCUACAUUCAGAUGGGUUCAGUCUCCCCUAACCCCCAGCACUUGUCACUGUCCCACAUAUCAGUCCCCUCUAGAUAUACCUUGUAGACACACAGAUCUUUGCAUCUGACAACAACACGAAUAAUUAGAAUCUUGGAUACAAUUUCAUCCUUCAAGGACACCAAGCAGUCACCUAGGGGCAAGCUGAUUAUUUUGGAACCUAUUUAUUCUUGAAACGGUAGUUAUUCACCUUGGCUGGGAGAAACACAUAUUCUGGUAUCAGUUUCCUUUUCUUUGCUGCUGACUCUCAUUCAUCACCACCAUCAGAAAGAUGCACAAAGCAUCUACUGAUACCACACACUUGAAACAAUUCAAUGUGCACAACUGUUUGUUUCUGACAGUGUUUAGUAUUCAUCUGACUUCAUAGUGAUAGCCCCAGCAAUCAUGCUAAAGGAAGAUUAGAAAUCAAGAUGGAAACAUUGGAUCAUAAAUACAGAAGUGUGGCAGGCAAAAGGGAGGAACUGCAAAGACAGGAAAAGAGGUGGGCCAGAGAUGAGAAAAGAUUUCUUAAAGCAGGAUGGGAUGUCAAGCUGCUCAGGCAUCUCAGGUAGCAAUGUGUUUCACUGUGGAGUUCUCACUGCACUAUCCCCCCGCCCACCCUUUAUCACUUCAACAAUCUUUUGUAGCCCUUUAACUUUAUACAUUUUAAAAAGCACUCUGUUGAAUAUUGGGAUGCUCAGAUUCUUUUCCUUCUUUUGAGAACUUGAGUUGGGAGAGACAUGAGAAAGAGAGAGUUAAUUAUUGGAAAGGGGCUGAGACUACACAGUCAGCCAGCAGGUUGAGCCUAGGCAGACAUAGCAGGCCUGUGACUGAUUUAAAUUCACUCCAAUAAAUAAAAAAAUGACUAUUAUUUAUUAGACCAAAGGGAAGCAAAUGGUUUGGAGAGAAGACUGAGGAAGAAAGGCAGUGUGGUGGUCCAGUGGGAGAGACAUUUGUACAGUAGAUGAGAAAGUCAGCAGUGGGAGGAGAGGCUCCCUAAAGCUGUUUUCUCCUUAACUCAGGCAAUGUCCUAGUUGUUAGAGUAAAUAUUCAUCUUCUCUGUGUAAACUAAAUGAGUUGUUUUGCAAACAGAAGAACACAUGAAACAGAAGCAUGCCACAUAAAGACUUGUGUUUUCUUUUUUAAAAUAGUACUUAAAUUUUUUGAGAUUAUAAUAUAAUUACAUCAUUUCCCCUUCCCUUUCUCCCCCCAAACCCUUCCAUGUACAUGCUCUUGCUCUCUUUCAAAUUGAUGACCCUUUAUUCUUUAAUUAUUGAUAUGUGUAUGCAAAUAAAACCUGUAAUUGAAUAUAUAUGUAAAGUGUAAGGCCAAAUAAACUUGUUUCCCUUUAAAGCUUUUGAAUCUCAAGCAGUUUGCCACUGUGAAGGAAAACCUAUAUCUGAGAAUUCUCAGCCUGUUCUUCAUGUUAUACUUCCCUAUUAAUUUUAGAACUCUAGUAAUAUAAAUAAAUAUAAAUAUAAAUACAA